AUUGCUGAAGUUGUACUAGCCCGUGUCUGUGGUGCUUCUGCACAGGCAUGGCAUCUGCACAAAGCUUUUGGCUCAGCCAGGUCGCUGUUCUGAGCCAAGCCUUCGUACCUGUGCUGACUUCUCUCUCAGCUUUUGUUGCCCCACUCUCCAUCUUCUGGUACCUUAGAUAAGAUGGGAUGAGAACUUAUUUACAUUAAGUGCUUCUGGACAUCUCUUAGGGAAUCCUAUGAAGAGGGCCUCAGUCGGGUUACCGUCAUUUUUACUUGUCUGAAAUUUUGCUUGGUUUGGUGGAUGGAGAGAAGCGAAAUGCAGAUAAUUACAUGGUAACGUGUGAGGCCUCCUGCCCUGGUCUGUAGAGUUCUGAUUACCCAUGAGAAAACUUCUAUUUUGAUUAGACAGAUGAGGCUGCAGCCCAAGUCUGUGUGCUUUCUGCACACCAGCAGUGAACGUUUCGAAUGACAUGAGCAUGGGUACCACCUAGUACUUUCUUGGAACUGAAGCUGGAACAGACUUCUUGAAAGAGAAUGAGCUGUCGGAGUCAGGAAGCAGCUUGCAGAGCUGUUAGCGAGCUUGGCCCGCUUCCCACAAGAUUAUCUGUAUCAGCGCUGAAGAGGGGCUGAGAUUGAUUAGCACUGACGGAGAGUAAUCGCUGCAGCCGCCGUCCCCGCACGCGGGUGAGCUCAGCGUGCCCGGGCUGCAGCCCCCUGCCGGGCUCCGACAAACAGCUGUCCCCUUGCUGCCAAGGCUGUUUCUCCAGGCGCUGCCAAACAUUUUGGGGGCAUCAGAGCUCAGCGGUGAUGCUGCUGCUCAAAAAGGCAAAAGGCUGAGUGAUGAAUGGAGCUGCUUUUGCUGCCAGCAUCCAGACUCCAUAUGGACAGCUGCAGCUUCACAAAUGAACAGUGGCCCGAAGAAAAACAGCCUUUACCCUUUCCUGCUAUCCCUCCACGCUCCAGUCAUCCACCUCGAAACAGAACAAGAAAUUAUUUAUUCUCUAGGUUUCGGUGUUGGUGUGUGGGUGUUAGAAAUCAAAAAGCAGAGCUGAUUUUUCUGGCUGAAAUCUCGGUGUAUGGGCAGCUGCUGUAUAGAGCCCUUACCUGAAAUGAGCAGAACUACUGUAUGCAUGUGCCCUUUAUCAAAAAGGUCUUGAAGUUGGCUCUAAAUAUUAUUAACACUUGUAGCAAACAGCCAACAGAGCAGGGGUGAAGGGAGUUGGAGUGUGAAGAAGCUUGUGUAGAAGCAAUUUAAUUAAUUACAACCCAUUCAUGUUUACUGAUAAACCAGAAGAGAAAGCACAAGAACUCAGACUUUCCUCCUGUCUCCAGAAGGCCAGUGUGCUUUUGCCCCAGUGCAGUGCUCUGUAGGCUGGAAUGGCUGGAAUAAAUGGAUCUCAGUUCUUCCUCCUAUUAGUGCUAAUAAUAGGAUUUGGCAGAAACAUCCCAUAUGUGCUUUGACCUUCUGCAAUAUAUUUCAACAGAAAAUAUCAAAGCAUUUCUCUGAGAUUUGCUCAUGUCACCUCUGAGAAGCAGAUUUGUACUUUGCAUGUGAAGGACAUUGGUUUUUCAAAGCAGAGCUGUUCCGAGCCUGGUAGUAAAGAUUAGGAGGUUAGAAAUCUGGACAGGGCUGGACUAGAAAUUUGUCCAAUUGCAAUCCCGAUCAUCUCGAGGCAGCACAGAUGAUAUUAAGCAUGUCACUGCGCUACUACUUCUUGCUGUAUCUCCCAGCAGGUUAGAGCAUUGGGCACAGUGUACGAAAUACGACAUUCCAAGCAAGGAACAAACCUCAACACUUCUGGAGUUACUGAUUGCUUUGCUUUUUAGCAUCCUAAAAUGGUCAAUGGGAAACGGUCUGCUGAGAUCUGAAGUGGCUCAAGCGGUUUCCUCACGGAGAAGUAGGCAAAAGCCAUCAUUGUGCCUGUCAGGAAAAAAAGAUGCCUGAUGAAUUUGUACACGUUCAGCCUAUACUGAAAAGAGAGAUUCAAGUCUGAUGGACAGAGUAUCCUGGUGUAAGUCUGGCAUUACAAGAAGUGGAAACAUGAUUACACAAAGAAUGAUUGAAGGUAUCAUACCUGAAGUUUUAUCUUUAGUAGUGCAGCUGGCAUAAGAAGCUCCUGCUCUUGCUGUUCUUUUCCUUUUUUUUUUUUUUUUUUUUUUUUUUUUCUUUUAGCUUAGCUUAUUUUUGUGAUCUGGUUUAUAGCUCAGCCCUUCAGACUGUGGCAGUGAAGGCGUGGAAAUAGUUGAGAACAGAAGGGAAGGGAGGAAUUUCUUAAGCCAGCUGUUUCUGAAGAAGAACAAUUAUUAUGAAGCUGCACUGUGAAUCUGGACAAUGAAAGAGGGUACGGUCCAGAGGGAGAGCCUCCCAUCGUCUCAGCGUUAACCAGCCAUUUGCUGCUGUGGGAUCUGUUCAGAAGUGAUCAGAGGUGAUAACUUCAUGAUUACCCUGAUUGCUACCUGAAACCCAGGAGCAAAGUCCAUGAGCAUUUGUCUCUAACACCUGGUGCCUGUCCUAGCACUCUUCUCAGAGUUUUUAGGUAAUGAAACCCAGUAAGGAUCUUGUCCCUGUCUCAAAUUCUUUAAUCCUUUCUGUAGGAAAAGGUGCAAAACUGUGGCUUUCAACUCCCUCUAAAAUGAGGCAUAAUUAUAGGCAGGCAGCAAUAGCCUUAGCGAUCCCUAAAAAUGGCAGGAGCAGACGAGGAUGGUUUAAUAUUUUUAUAGUUCAGUGGAAAAUGAUGCUCACGGGUUUAUUCAGUAAAAUAUUCUCAGCAGAUACUUUGCGCUAUAAUGACUUACAAAUUACAUGCUAAUUGUGCUACAGUUAAGUGAUUCCAUCCUUGAAAGGGAGAGGUGGAACUCCUAGCGGCUCCUGGCUGGUAUUAGCCCAGCGUUCAAGUCCAGGUCAGAGUGACGGGUGAAUUGCCUGGACCUGUACUGAAAGCAGGAGCUGGUGGUGGCCGGGGAGGUGUCAGUGCCCCGUGGAAAGAGCACACCGGAGGUCACGGGAGAGUGUGCGGAUUUUUCAGUGUGGCCGAGUUGAGGCUGCCUGCGCUGGGAGCUUUCCUGGGAAAUGGCCAGCAGGCUGGGGUGAGCUUCUAGCUUUCCUGCUGGAAGCACUGCCUCGCUGGGGUUUGCUGGGAGAGGUGAAUGAGAUGUAAGGAAGGAGGAUGCAGGGAAUCUUCUGGGCCCCAGUCCGGUGGCUGUGGAGCAGAUGUGGUCUCUGGCACAGAUCGGCAGAUCCGUUGUAUCUCUAGGUUUAGGUCUUUGCUUGACACCUUGAGGCCUGUCAGUCCUGCCUCAUUAGUGCGAGAGAAGCUCAUUUUAGCUUCACAGAAGCCCAUCUCAUUGCUGUCUUCUCCCAUCAGCAAGGGGCAUCUCAGCACAUAUUGUUGGCAGAUUAGAAAUGGCAUCUGAGUGCUCAUUUGGAGGUUAGCAACUUGACAGCUUUGAAAGAGAGACAAAGUGGAAAGGUGGCUGCUUGGUACUGUACUGGGAGGCAGAUUAGCAUUUAAAGUUUGGUUCUCUUUUUUUUU
Non-coding RNA from Anas platyrhynchos (mallard), 3523 nucleotides. Lineage: Eukaryota; Metazoa; Chordata; Aves; Anseriformes; Anatidae. The record is from RefSeq and is a predicted model, not a curated record.